Molecule: long non-coding RNA, 1482 nt
Filed under: Anas platyrhynchos platyrhynchos (common mallard)
Lineage: Eukaryota; Metazoa; Chordata; Aves; Anseriformes; Anatidae
Description: lncRNA (ENSAPLG00000027653.1)
Source: RNAcentral
UUUUCUCAAACUUGCCUUUGAAAAAGGUGUUUCAGAGUAGAGAGAGCCUCUCAGGUUUUGUUGGGACAAUGACUGCACAAUUCCUAUUACAAUAUUGGAGAACAGAAAGGAACUGACGUCAAUUCCUGAUAAUUUUUCCACUUGGUGUCUGAUUUUCUCUGUACUUCACUUUCUACAGAGUUCCAGAGCCAACAUCAUCUCUACCGGCUCUGAAAUCUCUGCAUUUCUUUGCUGCACAACAGAGGCAUGCCCCUGUGUUCCUAUGGGCAGAAUUCACCUUCAGUCAGUAAUUCUUUGCAGCCAAGUUUGGACAUUAAAAUGAGCAUUGCAGGCAGAAGACAAAAAUGUCAAAGAUCACUGAGAGAAACUAAUGACCUGGCUCUGGACAGGACCACAGGGCCUCAGAAUGACACCAUUUUCCAGAGCUGAACAUGACAAUGACUUAGUAAUGCCUGUCUGCAGCAGAAGAACAAGCCAAAAAGCACCAGCAGCAGGCAGACUCCUCCCAGCCAGGGGCUCAGCACAUCACCUCGGAGCCCGCGGGAGGUGUCUACAGCAAUCCCGAGGAGCUUUCCCACCCCACAGGCACAUGCACACACUCCUGCUGUUGCUGACCCCAGGACAGCAUCUACCAGGCAUAGUCUGGUUUAGUGCUGGUGCUUCGUGCAUCCAGCUUAAAAAUAAAGGGACUUGACAAGCAGAAGGACUCCUUGUUUUCACUGGGAAAUACUCAGCAUCCUACAGGUGAGCAGUAGGCAGCAGGAAAGGAGGGUGAAGCUUGUGACAGCAGCUGUUGGUGUCUGGUCAGCAUCCCCCAGCUGUGCUCUCCCCCAGGGACACAGGGAUGGGCCCGACAGCACGCCACGGAUCCCGACUCCUCCGCCUUGGCUCUGCCUGCUGGAGCGGCCGCGGCAUCCACAGCUCCCCUCCGGAGGAAAAAGUGGGACUGGUGGUGAGUUCUGCCUUUGUGCCCUCACUUCUUUCCUCACCCACAGCUUGGGCUAAGGCCCAGUCUUCUCAGAAGAGCUUCCUUGCUCUUCUUUUCCAUACAGGUUUGCUUAGGUAUUAGGUUUGCUUCAGUCCUGUUCCCCACCCCUACUAGAAACCCAGAAACUUCCCAGGAACUGUCCUCCACACCUCACAGAAGGUCUCCUGUUCCCACCUCCUAGAAAACAAGUUUGAUUGUGGGAGAGGGAAUGCUCUCACAGCAUCCCAUAGAGGGAUGUGUAACAAAAUCCCGUUUUUGUAGAGUGCUCUUCUAUGAGCCUUGAUUAUACUUCCCAGCAGAACUAUGCUAAUUUGAGAUUAUGGAAGACAUAUAACUCCUAACUAAAUCUUCAGCAGCAGCUCUCUGUCUUACUGCAUCACCUCCCAGGAUAGUAGAUGCGCAGAGUUCUCAGGUAUGAUUGGUGGUGAGCUGCACUACUGGAACUAUCAAGCAAUUAGUACUGUUUCAAUAAAGGUUAUAUACAGAAAAACUCA